UACGGAGGAUGCAAGCGUUAUCCGGAUUUAUUGGGUUUAAAGGGUGCGCAGGUUGUUUGAUAAGUCAGUGGUGAAAGUCUGUCGCUUAACGGUAGGAUUGCCAUUGAUACUGUUGGACUUUAAUAUGGAUGAGGUAGGCGGAAUGUGUAGUGUAGCGGUGAAAUGCAUAGAUAUUACACAGAACACUGAUUGCGAAGGCAGCUUACUAAUCCAUCAUUGACGCUGAGGCACGAAAGCGUGGGGAUCAAACAGGAUUA
RNAcentral lists this ribosomal RNA (257 nucleotides) under uncultured prokaryote. RNAcentral describes it as "partial 16S ribosomal RNA". It matches the Rfam family "Bacterial small subunit ribosomal RNA", at positions 524 to 780 of the family's 1533-position model. The record is from RNAcentral.